CCUACGGGAGGCAGCAGUGGGGAAUAUUGGGCAAUGGGCGAAAGCCUGACCCAGCAACGCCGCGUGAAGGAAGAAGGCUUUCGGGUUGUAAACUUCUUUUGACAGGGAAGUGCAGAAGACGGUACCUGUCGAAUAAGCCACGGCUAACUACGUGCCAGCAGCUGCGGUAAUACGGAGGUGGCAAGCGUUGUCCGGAUUUACUGGGUGUAAAGGGAGUGUAGCAGGGAUGGUAAGACAGAUGUGAAAUCUGGGGGAGCAACCCUCGGACUGAAGUGGAAACUGUUGGUGUUGAGUGCAGGAGAGGGAGGCGGAAUUCGGGGUGGAGAGGUGAAAGGCUUAGAUAUCAGGAAGAACUACGAUUGCGAAGGCAGAUGACGGAAGUGCAACUGACGCUGAAGCUCGAAGGGGCGGGUAUCGAACAGGAUGAGAGACCCGUGUAGUC
RNAcentral lists this ribosomal RNA (442 nucleotides) under uncultured bacterium. Its description in RNAcentral is "partial 16S ribosomal RNA". It matches the Rfam family "Bacterial small subunit ribosomal RNA", at positions 338 to 795 of the family's 1533-position model. The record is from RNAcentral.